AACGAACGCUGGCGGCAGGCUUAACACAUGCAAGUCGAACGAGGUCUUCGGAUCUAGUGGCAGACGGGUGAGGAACACGUGGGAACAUCCCUUUCAGUUCGGAAUAACGUUGGGAAACUAACGCUAAUACCGGAUACGUCCUUCGGGAGAAAGAUUUAUCGCUGAAAGAUUGGCCCGCGUCUGAUUAGCUAGUUGGUGAGGUAACGGCUCACCAAGGCUACGAUCAGUAGCUGAUCUGAGAGGAUGAUCAGCCACAUUGGGACUGAGACACGGCCCAAACUCCUACGGGAUGCAGCAGUGGGGAAUAUUGGACAAUGGGCGCAAGCCUGAUCCAGCCAUGCCGCGUGAGUGAUGACGGCCUUCGGGUUGUAAAGCUCUUUUGUCCGGGAAGAUAAUGACUGUACCGGAAGAAUAAGCCCCGGCAAACUUCGUGCCAGCCGCCGCGGUAA
RNAcentral lists this ribosomal RNA (449 nucleotides) under uncultured bacterium. RNAcentral's name for it is "partial 16S ribosomal RNA". It matches the Rfam family "Bacterial small subunit ribosomal RNA", at positions 29 to 523 of the family's 1533-position model. The record is from RNAcentral.